Molecule: long non-coding RNA, 377 nt
Organism: Girardinichthys multiradiatus
Lineage: Eukaryota; Metazoa; Chordata; Actinopteri; Cyprinodontiformes; Goodeidae
Exons: 3
Source: RefSeq, a predicted model, not a curated record
CAUUUUACUCCAAGAGAGCGCACGAUCUUACUGCCACCUACUCUAUUAAUUUAAGCGUAAAGUCUGUAAAAACUAGGAUUAAACAUGCCAGUUGAGGGGUUUGCAUUCAUAUUGGAUAUUAAAACUGAUAUAACCUGAGUGCAAGCUUGAACAAAUUACAUGUGCGCACUUUGAAAAUGGGUUCGAGCAGCUCACGUGGCAGCAGCGUGGGUAGGCCGUGAAAAAUGAAGGAGCUGCACCCACAUGGAUUUCAGGAAUAACAUGGUUGUGGUUCUUCAAAAGAAGGAGGGUGACUGGCCUUGAAUUGAAACAAGUUUUCAGUGUUGCUUAUUAAUUCAUCAUGUGUGUUCAUUAUAAAAUAAACAUUCCUACAGCUA